This is a long non-coding RNA of Megalobrama amblycephala (Wuchang bream), 1006 nucleotides long. RefSeq lists it as uncharacterized. The record is from RefSeq and is a predicted model, not a curated record. NCBI's taxonomy places the organism in Eukaryota, Metazoa, Chordata, Actinopteri, Cypriniformes, Xenocyprididae. The transcript is spliced from 7 exons.
GCAGUUUCCUCUAUUAAAUCCAGUCACGCAGCAGGUUCUUUUGCCACUCAGUCCAGCUGAGGGAGCGUGUUCUGGCGGGAAAGUGACGUUUAUGUAUACCGGAGCUUCUAACGGCCGCUGCGGUGACGCAAUGACAUAUCAAUCGGUGAUUGGCUCUUAUUUAGAAGGCGGGACCGGGCGGGCACUUUCUCCCAUUCAUACGAGAGCACCGUCUUUUAUUGUCUAAUAAUUCAACGGCCCCUCGUCAAUACGGUUUUACGGUUUACUAUAAUCUGUUGUUCAGAAGAAAAUUAAAAAGGUGCUCAAAUCCCAAGUUUGCGAUCGGAGAUCAUCAUCUGAUCGAAGGACGGAUCACUCACCUGAGCUGGGAACCGGUUCUGCGUCACCGUGAGGACGAGCCUGAAAACAUAAGCCCCAGUUUCGACUUUAUGCCAAACUUCUGUUCGAAACGACAUGAGGUGUAACUAUAAAUCCUCCAGAAUCCGCUCAGACACAUUCUUCGAAGAAGACGUGUUUCCCUGGCAUGAUCACGUCUGGGUUAUCGCAGCCACAGAGAACAAUCACUAUGAGGCACUUUAUACAUCCUGAACCAAUCAAGCGUGGCCUCCAGGUAUCCGGGCUUGAGUCGUCGGACGUCGUCGAUAUCUGUGAAUGACAGAACUCGCUGAGAUUUAACGUCAUACUAAUUACAGAUGCAGAAGAUAUCGAUGGGAUCGUUAUCGCCGCAGCAGCCCGUGUCUCCGUCCCUGUGCCCUGGAUCCUCCCAUGUCUGGAAAAGAUGAGAAAUAAACUGUCCAUUCAUUCAGCAUUUCUGAGCAUGUCAUUUAUAUGGAUGCACACACUGAUGUGACUGAGAAAAUCCAGCUACUGAACAAAUCCUUCAGGACUCCAAAAGCUUUGAAUUUAAUCUACACUCUUGGAAGGAAAGGUUUUAUAUAGAGCUUGGUAAUUGAAGACGGGGGCGGAGCUUUAACAGCUCGACAACAACAAAGCUGGAGAAUCUCAC